AGAGAGAGACAUGCGCGCAUAUCAAUAAGCGGAGGAAAAGAAACUAACAAGGAUUCCCUUAGUAACGGCGAGUGAAGCGGGAAGAGCUCAAAUUUGAAAUCUUCAAGGUUUUACCUUGACGAAUUGUAGUUUAAAGAAGUGUUUUCUGUUGAAGUUUUGGUAAAAGUUCUUUGGAAUAGGACAUCAUAGAGGGUGAGAAUCCCGUAUUUGACCAUUAUUUUCAGCUUUGUGAUACACUUUCAAAGAGUCGGAUUGUUUGGGAAUGCAGUCCAAAAUGGGUGGUAAAUUUCAUCUAAAGCUAAAUAUUGGCGAGAGACCGAUAGCGAACAAGUACCGUGAGGGAAAGAUGAAAAGAACUUUGAAAAGAGAGUUAAACAGUACGUGAAAUUGUCAAAAGGGAAGCGUUUGACACCAGUGUCGUUUUCCUCGAAAAUCAAUUAAAAAUGGCUCGAUUUUGUAUUGUUGAGACCUUAAAAGCUCACUGUACAUUUUUCGUGUCCUUUUUUAAUGCACUUUUCGUUUAACAAGUCAACAUCAGUUUCUUUUGUUGUAAAAGGAUCAUUGGAAGGUGGCUUUCUUUUCGGAGAAAGUGUUUAUAGCCUUUGGCCUCUGCAAUCGGAGAGACUGAGGUCUGCAGCGUAGACUCUUCGGGGUUAGAUACAUUUGUGCUAAGUUAUAGCUUUUUAUAGACGACUUGUUGACUAUAAUUAGUCUUGUAGCUUACUCGCUUAUGCUAUUUUACCUACGCUUAGGAUGUUGAAGUCAUCGUAUCGCGC
This 776-nucleotide ribosomal RNA is filed under the name uncultured Neocallimastigales. RNAcentral's name for it is "partial large subunit ribosomal RNA". It matches the Rfam family "Eukaryotic large subunit ribosomal RNA", at positions 23 to 645 of the family's 3401-position model. The record is from RNAcentral. Lineage: Eukaryota; Fungi; Neocallimastigomycota; Neocallimastigomycetes; Neocallimastigales.